AUCCAGCUGACAAGUCCUAAAUAGGAUGAAACACUCGUCCAAUUGGAU
This 48-nucleotide non-coding RNA is filed under the name Schistosoma curassoni. The record is from RNAcentral. Lineage: Eukaryota; Metazoa; Platyhelminthes; Trematoda; Strigeidida; Schistosomatidae.